This 253-nucleotide ribosomal RNA is filed under the name uncultured bacterium. Its description in RNAcentral is "partial 16S ribosomal RNA". It matches the Rfam family "Bacterial small subunit ribosomal RNA", at positions 524 to 776 of the family's 1533-position model. The record is from RNAcentral.
UACAGAGGGUGCAAGCGUUAAUCGGAAUUACUGGGCGUAAAGGGCGCGUAGGUGGUUAUGUAAGUGAGUUGUGAAAUCCCUGGGCUUAACCUAGGAAUGUCGACUGAGACUGCAUGACUGGAGUACGGUAGAGGGUAGUGGAAUUUCCGGUGUAGCGGUGAAAUGCGUAGAUAUCGGAAGGAACAUCGGUGGCGAAGGCGGCUACCUGGACUGAUACUGACACUGAGGCGCGAGAGCGUGGGUAGCAAACAGG